CAUUAAAAAAAGAAAUACAAAAUUAGCAUAGCUAAAACAGAUCUUCCAUUAAUCUAUGCAGCCUAAAUUAAAAAGAAUAUCUUCUGAACAUCUCAGAUAAAAUGUAAAAUGGCUGCAUUUUCCUGAUUUUUCCCUGGAGUCCCAACAGUAAUCCCUGACAUUAACUCUGCUAGUAGGCCAAGUCUAACUACUACAUCCCCGUUUUAAUCCAUUCAUGAUUGAUUAUAACAGUAGUUUUCUUGCAGCAGAAGUAUUGUUAUUCAGAGAAACAUAAUUAUAUCAAUAAACUGGCCUCUGAAUAUCAGAGGAUAAAAAUGGCUGCAAGGCUCUGAAUGUUCCUUUCUUGAUGUUUAAAUUUUCAGCCCUCAAAUCACAUUUUCCACUUUUCAACCCCAAAUGCUCUUCUCCAUACUUUAUUCCUCAUUUGUAUCAAUGUGAUUAUGGACACUGCUCCCCUCAAGAGGCUCGAAAAGGUAAUGCAUAAUUCUCUUCAUUGCAAUCAAGUAAGACUUGUUACUAGGUGGUUUAGGAAAUCAGCUGAUGAAAAUAAAACAUUUUCAGAUGAAGUCAUUUCAUUUAAGAAAGGUUUUAUCAAACUGAAGUAGCAGCAAUUUUUCCCAUUUGCAGAUGAAACUGGGGAAAUAUCUCAUUUCUUCAGUAAAGCUCCGAUACUCCAAUCUUAAUCCUUUGACACUAAGGAGCACAUUUAUUCUUCAUGAUUUUGACCUGCUCAGAGAAAUCUAGAGAAGCAGCUAACCUUUGCUACUAUUCUACUCUAUUGAGCAUUAGAAUAUCUUGCAGUAUUAUUGUGAUUGACAAACUAUUCAAGGGAACAAAAUAGAUAUAAAAGUACACUUUAUAGGUACUUAAUACCUAUAUCCAUCUACUAAAAAAAUAAAACUUCCUGUUGGGAUACAGUAAUUAACUAAAAUGUGCUUUCAAAGACUGCAACUUCCUACUACAGCACUACUACUCCACUUCAAUCCAUAUGUUUUCUGAGCAUUAUCACAUCUGCUUGUCCUAAGCAGUUCUUAAUUACUGAAUUAUUUUAUUCCUAGCAAAUAAAAUGCAUUAAAAAUGCCAAAAUAAUCACAACUUGGAUGAAUGCUAAUUAGAGACCAAAUGAACAUGAAAAUUUUUGACUCAGCAGAACAGACAAGAGGCUACCCUUACAGAAAGAGAUGUUAUGGAGUCUCCUUUCUUAGAGAUCUUCAAAAGCCAUGUGGUGUUGUGAUUCUGGGCACCCAGCUCUGGGUGUCCCUUUUUGAGCAGUGGGGCUGGACUAGAUGAGAUAGACCCAGAGGUCCCUGCCAACCUCCACAUUUCUGUGGUUCUGUGAUACAGAAAUCAUGAGAAUACUGCCACUAACUGGGGCUAGCCACUUUAGAAAUAUUUGUGUAGUGUCAGGGAAAGUGAUUAAAAGCUCUCUGGAAAUGCCUAAGUAACUGUAUUAAACAUUCAGAGUCUGUAUGACUCCCUUUUCUUUGUCUGUCUUCAUCUUCCUUGCUAAGGAAACUGUCUAAUUUUUGCCUGUUUCCUCUAAUGAGGAUAUUUAACACCUUUUUAGAUCCUCUGUCCAGAGAGAAUCUGUAUUCCUAAACAGUUUCUGACAAGGACACAGUCCCCGCUCCCUGACAAGCUUUUAACAAAUUCCUAGCGUGCUUUUGAUCUUUAGUAUUCUAGCUUCUGUGAAAAGACAGCUUUACUCUUGCUGUACAUAAGAAAUCCUGAGUGCUGCCAUUUUGAAAAGUAUAUUUGCAUUUGCCGAAAACAUAUUGUGUACUUCUUCCUCUUUGCCAUUGCCAGGUUCUACAUGCAUGCAGAAAACUAAUAAUCUACUAUUCGUUAUUACAGUAACUUUUCUGACCAGGCUAGUCUUGAUAAUCUCUGAACAGCUAAGGAAACUCGGAGAGGUGCCUGUGGAAUGGAAGAAAGCAAAUGCCACUCCCACUUUGAAGAAGGACAAGAAGUAACUGCAGUACUAGAGGCCAGUCAGCCACAUCACAAUCUCUGGGCAUGCGAUGAAGCAAAUAAUCAUUCAAAUGUUAUUAAAGGCAUGAAGGUGACUGGGAGAAGUCAGUACGGAUUUUUGAAUGGGAAUGUAAUUCCAACUUAAUAGCCUUCUAUGAUGAUAUGAUUAGCCUAGUAGAAGAGGUGAGAACAAUGGAUAUUGUUUAUCUCAACUUUAGUAUUUAUACCACCACCCACUUGAUGAAGUCCCACAGUUGAUGAAGUCUGGACUAGACAAGCAGACAGUGAAGUGAACUGUAAACUGUCAGAACUGUCAGGCUCAAACAAUUGUGAACAGCAGUAUGAAAUCCAGGUGGAGCCCACUUGUAAAUCCUCUUGCCCAAGGGCUUAAUACUGGGGCCGAUAAUGUUUAACAUCUUCAUUGAUGAUGUGGAUGAGGAGACAGACUGCACUCCAAGGAAGUUUGUGGAUGAUACACUACUGUGAGGAACAGCUGAUGAACCAGAAAACUCCACGGCCAAUCAGAAGGAUCUCAGGAGGACAAAGAAAUGGGCCAAGAAGAAUCCCAUGAAGUUUAACGAAAAGAGAUGCAAAGUCUAGACGAUCUCCAGAGACCCUUAAACAUUUUAUAUCACGCACAAUAUUGAGCUCACUCAAAUAUCAGCUUCUUAAUAUACAGAGCUCCUUCUCACUCACUCUCUGCUCAAAACACACAGAAAACUAUACACAUUUUCUAGGGAUGCUUACCUCUAACACUCGGCUAACAGAAUCUUUAUUCCCAGAACAUCUGUUCUGGUGCAUAAACAUGCACCCUUACGUGCACAUCCAGGAAAACCAUUUGAGAAUAACGCUCCUUUCAAUUACACCAUGCUUUUAGCUUAUUCAUUUCUUCUAUGUUUGAAGAAAAACAAACAUACUGACAACUUUAUAGAGUACCAAAAGUACAUAAAUAGUAUAUAAAUAGAUCGUAGAUGACACAAAUAUUUCCUUUAUUUUAAGAGCUGUUAUACCAAGGUCUAGGGUAAUAUUCUAAUUAUUAUUUUUAAAAGGAUGAGGAAUAAAUUUAUAGAUAGCAAGUAGUAACUGUUUCAUUUCCCUGAGUGGCUACCUUUCUUCUAUGAAAAAUUUUCAAUGCAUAACUUAGAAUCUAAGUUAAAUGACUCAUCUACCAAAUUUGCCAGUCUGUUAGCAAUGUGAAUAGUGAAGAACUAGCCUAACUCCAUUACAGAGUAGGUCAGAAGGACAUGCAUACCUACACAGAAACAUACACAAACAGUUACUGCAAAAAAGGACACUGCUGUCAGGUAAAAAAAAAGAGUAUUAUUUUAGAUAACUCAUUGACAGUGAAGUCAUGCUAGUCAUUUUCAAAGACUCUGAGAUUGUGCCAACAACAGCAGAAAAAUGGGAAGAGAAGAAUACAAGACUUAGAGCUUCCUCCAAGAAAACAAAAAAAGUCUUCUCCAUAUCUCCUACACAAGUAAUGAGAUGAGCGAACUGGUCAAUUUCUAGAUUCUAACAAUUAUCUUUCUUCCUUCUCCCCUCCUGACGUGUAUUUUUCUCUGCACGUUUCUUCCUUUCCAGCUUUUCCUUUCUUCUAUGGCCUUCUGCAGACUAAACCAAUAUACACAUACAUCUGAUAUGAUCUUUCAAUAAAAUCACACUGAGUUAAAAGAAUGCUGCAGCUGAGCUCCCAAAUGCAAAUAUAUGAUUGCUGACACAUGAGGGUGUAUGCCCUCUUGUCUGCUUAAUAAAUAGCUUGUUUCUUACAUCAGCAAUGUACAACUGUUACAGAAUUUUCACUGAGGUACUAAAUAUAGUUUGAAGAUUGACAACUAUUUCAUUUAAAAGAAGGCAAAAUUAGUUAAAAUUAAUGAAGAAGUUUUCUUGCCUAAUUCAAUGUUAUGAACUCAAGCUUUAAAAAUAAACUGUAAAACAAAUAAACUAAGACCACGUUUCUUAAAUUGCAGAGCUUUGCAAGUUUUGUAACAUCUCUAAAAUAUUUUCCAUUACUGUAUGGGAACCAUUAGGUCAUGGCCUGAACCAGUGAUUAAGCACCUGGUGAAGGAGUGUGGCCAGCCUUGGGAGCACAGGUGCAAGCAAUUCACCUGUGAGAAUGGAAGGAGUAGACCCUGGGUCCCCUCCCAACCUCAUUUAAGAGCUGGCAGGCAAAGGAGGAAGUAUCUCUACUUGGAGAUUGUCUUCUUUGGCAGUUUUCCAGGGAGCCCUUAUCCUUGGAAAGAGAGGUUACAGAAACACACAGAUGAUCAGUGAGAAACGCUGCUCUCUAUGGAAGAAUCAGUCCACAGAAAGGCUGAACUAUCAUGGCUGAGACUGAGCGUACAAACUGAAGAGUUAUAAAACAGAAAGACUCCUUAAUAAGCUGGGAAUAAGUGGAAUAAAAAUUCCCAUGUGAAGGUGCAUUUUUGCUAAGGAGUAGAAGAAGCCAUUAAUUAAUGCAAUAAAAGAUAAGGGUAUUUGGAUUAGAAGAUGGAAAAGAAAUUGAAUGCUACUGAAAACUUAUCUCCAGUUAUCUCAGCAUUGUCCUUUGCUGGUGGAACUCAAGCCAGCAAUUCAGUGAUAUGGAAGAUGGGUCUUUACCAGAUUUUGAAAUACAUAAAUGCAAUUGUGACCUUUUUUAAAGAGAAAUAUUUUAGCAAAAUGCAUAUUACAUAAGGAAAGCUGUCAGGCCCAAGGCAUCAAACACUUUACACAAACGUAUUUGAAGAAAAAAAUUCAUACAUGGGAACUUAAGAAAGGACUGAUUAGGUGAGUUUAGAAACCAAAAAAUGAAAAGUGAAAUUAAAGCACUCAGCAUGGACACAGGCAUCAUGUGAAAUGUGCCUCGGGAAGCACUCCAACCAGGCUGUGUUUAUGGAACUACCAUCCCAGUCAUAACGAUCAUCAGUUUAUGCGUGAAAAUAUGGUGGAGGUGCGCAAGAUGAUUCCCCGAGAUGACAGUGCAACAGCCUAGCUCGUCAACGUCUCGCUCCAUCUGAGCUCCCACUCAUCUCCCAGCCACCAAAACCGACCCAUCCGCCGCUUCCCAGGAAAGGGCCGCCCUGCGGAGACCCCGCAGCAGCGCUGCCCGCCGCACCGCUCGCCCAGAGGAGGCGAAUCCCGG
Molecule: long non-coding RNA, 5092 nt
Organism: Numida meleagris (helmeted guineafowl)
Lineage: Eukaryota; Metazoa; Chordata; Aves; Galliformes; Numididae
Exons: 3
Source: RefSeq, a predicted model, not a curated record